UCUACAGCCAUACCACCCUGAAGACGCCGGAUCUCGUCUGAUCUCGGAAGCUAAGCAGGGUCGGGCCUGGUUAGUACUUGGAUGGGAGCAAAUACGAGUUCAUUGUCAUGUGUGAU
RNAcentral lists this ribosomal RNA (116 nucleotides) under Microcebus murinus (gray mouse lemur). Lineage: Eukaryota; Metazoa; Chordata; Mammalia; Primates; Cheirogaleidae. The record is from RNAcentral.